Molecule: non-coding RNA, 180 nt
Organism: Labrus bergylta (ballan wrasse)
Lineage: Eukaryota; Metazoa; Chordata; Actinopteri; Labriformes; Labridae
Source: RefSeq, a predicted model, not a curated record
GUCUGAAGUUUAAGCAGACUGUGAAAGACACUUUACAAGGACUUUAAAUGAGUCAAGAACCUCUUUUCAUGACAAGCAGUGCAACGAGUUCUCACAGCGUGGUCGGCAUGAUUGGUAUGUGAUACAAAGAUGAAGAUGCUUCACAAGAUUGCUCCAGCAAUAAAUGCCCGUUUCAAAGAA